RNAcentral lists this ribosomal RNA (446 nucleotides) under uncultured bacterium. RNAcentral's name for it is "partial 16S ribosomal RNA". It matches the Rfam family "Bacterial small subunit ribosomal RNA", at positions 338 to 795 of the family's 1533-position model. The record is from RNAcentral.
CCUACGGUAGGCAGCAGUCGAGAAUCAUUCACAAUGGGGGAAACCCUGAUGGUGCGACGCCGCGUGGGGGAAUGAAGGUCUUCGGAUUGUAAACCCCUGUCAUGUGGGAGCAAAUUAAAAAGAUAGUACCACAAGAGGAAGAGACGACUAACUCUGUGCCAGCAGCCGCGGUAAUACAGAGGUCUCAAGCGUUGUUCGGAAUCACUGGGCGUAAAGCGUGCGUAGGCUGUUUCGUAAGUCGUGUGUGAAAGGCGCGGGCUCAACCCGCGGACGGCACAUGAUACUGCGAGACUAGAGUAAUGGAGGGGGAACCGGAAUUCUCGGUGUAGCAGUGAAAUGCGUAGAUAUCGAGAGGAACACUCGUGGCGAAGGCGGGUUCCUGGACAUUAACUGACGCUGAGGCACGAAGGCCAGGGGAGCGAAAGGGAUUAGAUACCCCAGUAGUC